Magallana angulata is the source of this 831-nucleotide long non-coding RNA. RefSeq lists it as uncharacterized. The record is from RefSeq and is a predicted model, not a curated record. The transcript is spliced from 3 exons. NCBI's taxonomy places the organism in Eukaryota, Metazoa, Mollusca, Bivalvia, Ostreida, Ostreidae.
GAAAAAUGAAAUCUGAUGAUGGAAACCAAAUAUUGAAAUGCAAUAAACAGAUAUUUCCUGUCUAUGCAAGAUAAAGGAAGGAGAGAGUCGAUUCUUUCAAGAAAGGAAUGGAUCUGUAUCAAAGGAAACAAGGAAAACGGAAGUUAUACUAUAGACAGGCUGUCAGGCUGUAUUUAAACAAAAGACCUCCUGGGAUGAGGAGAAAAAGAAACAAGUAGAACCUGUAUUUCUUGUCGAGUACUUGAUGAUGUCAUCAGAAUAUGAAAAUGAUUGGGAAGAUGACACAAUAUAUGAAAUCACAUCUCUAAAGUGGCGCUCUGACGAAUGUUUAAUUGGACACCAAAAGUUCUGCUCUGAAAUCCAAAUGUUCAAAAAGGCAAAGUAUAAGACGUAUAAGGACCAACAAUGAAUCAUCUAGAGACAAACCAGAAAAUAUAUCAAAUGAACAGAAAUGGGCCAUUUGAGAUUUUUAAAAGAGUUGCAACUGUCAUGUAUAAUUAGCUCACCUAAGCUGAAAGUUAUUAUAUGGUUUUACUGAUAUGCAAGCAUUUUGACAUAUACAUUGUUGAUUGUAUAAAAUUGUUAACUCCGUCCCAUGGACAAUUUUUGUUCCUCGCUAGAGGUUCAUAUUUUGAUGUAGGUUUAUUAUCCAUGUAUAAAGAGUUGUUUAACACUUCUUGAGAACUGCAAAGCUCAAUAUGUGAUAUGACUAUAAAAUCAUUGCAAAAUAGCUUGAUGUAUUGUUGUAGUAUGAUGAACCUAAAAAUAUGCUGGGUAUUUUUUUAAAUACAGGAUCUGAUAUUACUUGUUCAACUCAUACUGUUAUAUAAA